Long non-coding RNA from Ruditapes philippinarum (Manila clam), 7602 nucleotides. RefSeq lists it as uncharacterized. The transcript has 2 exons. The record is from RefSeq and is a predicted model, not a curated record. NCBI's taxonomy places the organism in Eukaryota, Metazoa, Mollusca, Bivalvia, Venerida, Veneridae.
UCAGACGACAUCUUCUACAAUACCACUGGGCCAAUAUUAAUGAAACUUGGCAGGAAUACUCAUUGUAUGAAGCUCUAUCAAGAUUGUUCAAAAAAUGCCAUUCCAUGGUAAACUCUGGUUGCUAUGGCAACUAAAAGAAAAAACUUAUAAGUUCUUAUACUUCAAAAUGGAAAGGGCUAGAGCUUAGAUAUUUCUCACAAGGCAUUAGCUUGUUAGUUCCUACAAAGUAUAUUCAAAUUAUUAUCUAAAGCUGAAAAUUGGUCUCUAUUUUGGUAGUUAAAGGUUUUUUUAUUGCAAGGUUAUAUAGACUUUCUUUGUAGGGAUAAAUUGAGACAGUGUAUCUUGUAUUAUUUGUCUGAACAGACAUUGUUAUGAAGAUUUUUCUUUUAAAGCAUUAGAAGGAUGAAAAGUUUGUUGAAUGUGAAUGUUAAUUCAAAACAGAGUCGAUCAGAAUAGCACAAAUUUGAGAGCUAUAGUGAAGUUGAUUUCCCUAUUCAAUAAUGGAUUUUUCCAUUAAUUUCGUAAUAUCAUCAGAAAGGAAGACUGUGUCAUUUCCGAAAUUAAAUGCAUUGUAUUUUGGUUCUUGACAUUGACUUGCACAUUUUCUUUGUAAGAUAUUGCACAAAGAAACGAAAGUGAACAAAAAGUGUUGUAUUUCUUUCACAAAAAAAUAGCUUAUUAAGAUAAAAGUUUAAUUUACAGUGCGGAUAUGACUUAAAUUCUUCCUUCCGGUUUGCGGAAAAAAUCAUAUAUUCAACAUUGUGUACACCGGUCUUACUGAAUCUGCUGAACGAUUUAUGACAUAAUAUUUUAUUCUGAUUAUAAACAUACAAUUCAAAUCAUUAAAUAAUAGAUAUCAAUCAGUCCUGAGUCUUAGAAAAGAUCUGUAUCAAUCUGACCUAUACACUAAACUAAAUCGGAUUACGGGAAUUAGGACAAAAUGGCGACCUUGAACAAGGAAAUUGAGAAAUUUUGUAACAUAAACUCGUAUUUCAAAACAAAGAAGUGAAGAUGAAUACAAUUAUCGAUGUGCUUCGUUGAAACAGGUUUUUUGUUAACUAUUUGUGAAGUAUUAAGGGAUGACAUUUAGUAUUUAUGUAAAUAUCACCUCCCGUGAUAUGAUUUCCAAAAUUAUACAUGUUUUCGGCGAUCUCCGAGGUCAUUUUUCUGAAUGACGCAAAUCCGAUGAGAAAUCGGGAAGGGUGUGUGAGCAUGCCUCAUUAAUUAGCGUGUGCACAUUGCUUGAUAAUGCUUGAUAUAUAUUUUAAAAUAAAUUUGUCCAUCUCAGACUCGUUUGUAUACGAAUCAAAACAAUUACGGAGAUUGCCGAUGAAAAAUUGAGCUAGAAUAUACAAGAUCAGAUUUGAUUGGUCGUCGUUUUUUACUAGCCAAUGAAAUCGUUUGUUGCAUAGUCAUUUGAUGUCAAAAUACAUGUACAAAUACAAGAAGUGUUUACCGCCUGGUCUGAAAAAGGGUGCAAAAAACAAAUGGAGGUGGGAGUGGUUAGCGGAAAAGGACUCUAAAUGUGAAAAAUGGGAUGCUUGGUUGAAGAAACCAAAUGCAAUGGGCUUUUGUGAAGUCUGUUCCAAAACGAUCAACUAGACAAAUCGAACAGAAAAAGGUGCUUCUUAAUCACGAUGAGCUGAAGAUGAGGACCACUAAAAGAAUCUUAGACCAAGUACUGCCAGGCUCAUCAAAAGCUGUGGACAAAAAGAUUGAAAGUAUGCAAGACCGCAUUGCCAUACAAAGAGCAAUCACAACUGCCUUUCUUAGUGAACAUUGACUGCCAUUUUCCAUAGCAGGCGAUCUCUACGUUUAGCUGAACACAAGCCUGCUCUUGAAAAAACUUCUCUUUCUCCAACCAGUGCAAUGUACAUAACAACACAUGGUGUAGCCAAAUCUGUUAAGGUCAAAAGUGAAAGACAAGUUAAUAUCUUUGAAUAUGGAUGAGGCAACUAACAAAAAACAAUAACAAAGUAAUCUUUUAGUACUUUGAUGAUGAAACUAGUCAAGUAGUAAUGGAUCAUUUAGGAUUGAAAAUUCAAAAUGUUUCCACAUCUGAAGAAAUUGUCAAGUCAGUUGAAAGUGUGCUACAUUAACAAGUGGAAGACAAUGGAAAAGGAUUAAAUUUAAGAUAUGAAAUUGAAAGUAAAAGAAUGAACAUAAUUUGUUAUGUGGAAUGUGUAUAUAUUGCUUAAAUAGUAUUGCUCAGUGAAUUUGUGUAAAUUUUAACAUAUCAGAUUAAUUACAUCUGAAGAUAUAUAAAGCACUUGAGUAUGUAUCUGAGCCUUUUUUGAACUUUUAAAUUCACUAAAUUGCAAAAGCUUCCAAGGGCCUCCAGCCCCCUGACCCCCAACUUUUUCUUUCAGAAUUUAAGUUUCUGUAACUUUUACCCCUGCAUGUACACAUGUGUUUAUCACCUCAAUAAAUGUAAGUGAAAAUGGAACAAUAAUUAUGGUAAUUAUCCAUGGUGCUAGAAAUACUUAAUUAUCUUUAUCAUGUUAACUAAGCAAGAAGCUUAUAAUUGUUAUCAAUUUAAACUUGAAAAUCUAGUCUAAAUGACUUCCCAAACAGUAAUUUCUGAAAACAUGAAAAUGAUUCGUGUAGAAAAAUAACACAAGAAAAAACUGAUUUGACUCAUGAAAUUUUUUGGCCAAACAGUCUGCCACGUGAAAUUCUGACCUUCCUGAGAUCCCUGCUGUUUGUUUUUUUUUCUGUACGAAAUCUGCUGUGGUCAUAGUAUUAUUUUUACAAUAGUUUUAUCUCUUGGAUUUGGUUCGCUAAAUUGCUAAUCAUGGUCAUGCAACUACAUAGUUAGAUGAAGAAGCAGGCGCUUGUUUUGGUUGAGUCUAUUAUGUUUUGUUUAGGGGGUUGAGUUGUCAUACACAAAUUUACAAUUUAUAUGCAUUUAUUUUUUUCCAAUGAUUGUUAUUAUCUUAAAUGCUUCUGGGAUUGUUGUUUUAUCAAUUCAUUUGUAAAUAAGAUUGUUAUAUGUCUAUUAACGGAAUAAUUUUAAUGAACACGAAAUUAGUUCACACCUACAUGUGUAUUGGUAUUAACGUGAUGGUUUAAGCCAAUGAAAACACGUCAAUAUUAUUAUACUCAGGCAGAGAAAAAGUGUGCAAAGAGUAAAUCGAUAAUCUUUAUGUAGCCAGCAAACUUUGAAUUGCAAGUAUUUUUUCAUAUCUUUUCGGCAGGAUAAACUGUCCGAGGAUUCGUAUCGUAAAAUGGCUGCCUUUUACAGUAUCAAGUGAUUAUCCCAAGCACCACCGCGACUUAGCGCGGGAAUUUUAAUUAUAGCUAACCUCUGCGCGAAUACCUUUUUCAUAUUUUAUUGUAAUAAAUAUUUACAAACUGUGUCUUUCGGGGUUUUUUUUAUCAAUAUAUAGCCAAUAAUGAUGUUAAUAUGAAUAAAUAAUCAUAUCUCAAAUCUUUGACUAUGAUUUACAAUGAAAUUCUACCUUUAGUGUAUUAAAAAGGUUUUUAAUUUCCUGUAAUUUUAUUUUGUGAUUAUGCUUCAAAGCAGUCAAUUGACCGUGAAUUUUCUUUUCAUAUUUUGAUUUCCUUGAAAUCAUUUUUCUCAUCAGAAGGCAUGCAACUUUAAUAUGGUGAUACAUUAAUUACAUUCCAUGAAAAUGUUUAAAGAUAUAAAAUAUCUCAUGACAUGUUUGUUCAUUUUACAUUACACCUUUUAUUCAGCAAGAAUGAAGUCUUCACAAAAAGUAGUAUGCAAUCGUACCUAUAUUACAUACGAAUGUAUGUAAUAUUUUUCUUGUUUAAUAACAUUUUACAUGAUUUUAUUAACCAGGUUUUCCGAAGGAAAAAACUGGUUAUUAGAUUGAGGUAUGUCGGCGGGCGGGCGGGCGUAAACAAUUUCUUCUGUGCGCAACUCCUCCUACAUUUCUCAACAGAUUUUGACCAAACUUUCACAGAAGCUUUGUCAUCAAGUGCCCUGGCGCAUAUUGUCCGGGUUUUGCCAUUGGAUAAUAUUUGACCUAAUUAUGGCCCUUUGUUGUUUUUUCUUAUAUAGAAUAUAUAGUGAACAAUUUCUUCUGUGCGCAACUCCCCCUACAUUUAUCAACAGAUUUUGACCAAACUUUUACAGAAGCUUUAUCAUCAAGUGCCCUGGCACAUAUUGUCGGGGUUUUGCGAUUGGAUAAUAUUUGACCUAAUUAUGGCCCUUUGUUUUUUUUUAUAUAGAAUAUAUAGUGAACAAUUUCUUCUGUGCGCAACUCCUACAUUUCUCAACGGAUUUUGACCAAACUUUCACAGAAGCUUUGUCAUCAAGUGCUCUGGCACAUAUUGUCCGGGUUUUGCGAUUGGAUAAUAUUUGACCUAAUUAUGGCCCUUUGUUUUUUUUCCUUAUAUAGAAUAUAUAGUGAACAAUUUCUUCUGUGCGAGACUCCUCUUACAUUUUUCAACGGAUUUUGACCAAACUUUCUCAGAAGCUUUGUUAUCAAGUUCCCUGGCACAUAUUAUCAGGGUUUUGUGAUUGGAUAAUAUUUGACGUAAUUAUGACCCUUUGUUUUUUUUCCUUAUAUAGAAUAUAUAGUGAACAAUUUCUACAGUGCGCAACUUCUCCUACAUUUCUCAACAGAUUUUGACCAAACUUUCACAGAAGCUUUGUUAUCAAGUGCCCUGGCGCAUAUUGUCGGGGUUUUGUGAUUUGAUAAUAUUUGACCUAAUUAUGCCCCUUUGUUUUUUUUCCUCAAUAUAUAAUGAUCAAAUUCUUCUGUGCUGAACUAGUCCUACAUUUCUCAACAGAUUUUGUUCAAACUUUCACAGAAGCCAUAUCAUCAAGUGCCCUGGCGCAUAUUGUAGAGGUUUUGUGAUUGGAUACUUUUUGACCUAAUUACGGCCCUUUGUUUUUUUUCCUUAUACAGAAUAUAUAGUGAACACUUCUUCUGUGGCAAUUCCUCCUUCAUUAUUCAUGUUUUACAUUGCACAUAGUUACAUUGUUUAUUGCUUGUAUUUGUAUUUCAAAUACAACAUAUUUAUCUACAAUGGAGAUAAUUGAAAACCUGGUUUCGUGGCAUUGCCAUGUUUCUUGUUUUAUGAUUAAACCUGUGUAUAGAGCCACUCAUGUGAACAGGAAGAAGUUUUUGUAGAAAGGGAUGUCCAAAUAUGAUAAACCAUAGAUGCUUGGGGGUUAGAUCCUGUCUCCAACAUGAUACCCCUGAGUAAACACCUUUAUCAAAAAUUAUUUUAAUAUCUAAACACUAAUGGGAUAUCUGGUACAACUAUAAUACUGGUUUUCGAAAAAUUUUACAUAAUCAUAUGCAAAAAAAAUACUGUUUACCAUCAUGUAUUGAGACUUAAUUCCGGGCAGACAGGCGAAUUGGUUGGGCCUUUUUGGUAACAUUUUUCUCAGCAACUACUCUAGAGAACCUCAUAAUAUUUAGUUUACAGCAUUAACACAUUGUCCCAUACCAUGGGAUUCGAUUUCAGGUCUGUCGCUCAUCCACUUCAUGUUAACUGACUUAGUUAAAUUCAUAAUAAUGGUCAAUGGUAGGAAUUUUUCCUAACGAUUUUCUCAGCAACUACUUAUCACAGCCUCUUGAUAUUUGGUAUGCAGCAUCAACAUGUAGUCACAUACAAUGGGAUAUGAUUUCAGGUAUGUGGCUCAUUCACUUCCCGUUUGAUGACUUAGUUGAAUUUUUGGCAUUAAUUGUAAAUGGAAGGAAAUUUCUGUAACAGUUUUCUCAGCAACUACAUAACACAGCCUCUUGAUAUUUGGUAAUGUGACUGCAUUAAUAUGUGGUCCCAAGUUCAGGUCUAUCGCUUAUCCACUUCCUGUUUACCGACUUAGUAAAAAGUUCGACAUUACUGGUCAAUGGUAGUACAUUUUUGUAACAUCACAGCCUCAUGAGUCAUGUUAUUUGGUAUACAAAUGCAACCCGGCCAUUUUUGUCUUUGACCCAUUUUUAUUGAAGUAUUAUCCAAAUUUGUACUUCGCCUUGUUAAUUAUGAUGUCAUUGUUAAAAUUUUCAUGAUGUAAACACACUACAGGGAGUGUAUUUUUUAGCAACCUAUACUUUAAAGAAAAGAAAAAAGAGGUAUUUCUAUACACUUGAUUGCAUUCCUCUUGCUCAAAAAUACUUUACAUUUGACACUAACUAAAUAACAUUUUAAGUAUUUUAUAAACAUGUUGCUUGUUUUAAAUAAGAAAAAUCCAGUUAACAUCUAUUUCUUAAGGUGAGCGAUAUAGGGCCAUCAUGGCCCUCUUGUUUGAUUUUUGACUUAGUUUUACGGGUAAAAACAAUGGGGGAAUGGUCACUUAUUGAAAGAAUUGGGACCUUAAUAUUACAUAUAUUUUGAGACUGAUUUGUGUAGAGAUGGUCAAUGAUAGUUGAGGAUGUUGGCGUGACUCUAGUAGGUUGUGUUAUUAGUUGAUUUAAAUUGAAUGUACUGAUUGUAUUAUUCCAUUUUCAAUUAACUGAAAUAGAAUUAAUAAAAUUGUAGUUGAAAUCGCCAAAGAGAAUGAUUUCUUUGUUUUCAACGUAUAAGGUUUCUAAUAUUUUUUCAAUUUCUUCAGUCCAUGAAUUAAGUGAUGAAGGGGGCCUAUAAAUAUAUCCUACAAUAAAAGGUUUUUGUUUGUCAAGCUUCAUUUCUAUCCAUAUUGCUUCAAUAUCACUUAAAUUAAGGUCUGUUCUACUCUCACAAUGUAAGUUUGAUUUUACAUAUAAAACUAUUCCUCCCCCAUUUGAUUGUCUGUCAUGCCUGAAAAGUUGAUAAUUUGUUUAAUUAAUUUCAUUGUUUGAGAAAGCAUCACUGAGAAAGGUUUCUUGUAAUCCAAGAAUGUCAAUAUCCGGGAGAUUAUCAACUAGAAACUGAAUUUCACUGAAUUUUGGAUAUAAAUAAUGUAUAUUGAGAUGCAUAAAGUUAAGUCCAUUUUUGUCUAAUUUUAAGUCUUGGAGUUUUAAGUCUUGAUGUGAUGUGUCCAGAUUGUUAUUACUUAUUUUAAGAGGAAAUUUAUUUUCUUGACUAUUUUCAUUUUCUUGAUGAGUAUGUAAAGAUGUAGAAUCAUUAAGAGCUUCGAAAUGGAGUUUGUCACCGAUUCCACUUUGUACAGUUAGUAUGGUGCAUGAUGCACUGGUGUCCAUGGAUAUGGCCUCUGCAUCCAUAUUGGCAUCCUUCUGUUGAAAUUGUGUUGGGGAAUCCUGUUGUGACCUUGAUAUUGCUGUCUCCUCUUAUGUUGGUUUCUGUUGUUCCAAUAAGAUUGAUGUGGUGGUAUUCUGUGACGGUUGUCCCUGGGAAAAUUUCGAGCAGACUGUGCUGGAGAACCUUUGAUGUUUAGGGUAGAUUUAAUGGCUGCCAAAAUUUGCCCUCCGAGCACAGCACCACCAGAUUUAUUAAGGUGGACUUCGUCAUAGUACAGCCUUUCAUUGAUGUUUUCAUCCGUUGUAAAUGAUUGUGUAUUGUCCACAAAUGUGUAACCGUUUCGUCCGGGUCCGUCCGUCGUCCGUCCGUCCGUAAACUUUUACUUUAAAUGACAUCUCCUCAUAAACCACUAAGCCAAUUUCAUCCAAACUUCACAGGAAUGUUUCUUUGGUGGUCACCUUUAAAAAUUGUUCAAAGAAUUUAAUUCCAUGCAGAACUCUG